AUUGAACGCUGGCGGCAUGCUUUACACAUGCAAGUCGAACGGCAGCGGGGUAGUGCGUGCACUACUGCCGGCUAGUGGCGAACGGGUGAGUAAUAGAUCGGAACGUACCGAGUAAUGGGGGAUAACCAAUCGAAAGAUGUGCUAAUACCGCAUACGUCCUGAGGGAGAAAGCGGGGGAUCGGAAUACCUCGCGUUAUUCGAGCGGCCGAUAACUGAUUGGCGAGUUGGUGGGGUAAAGGCCUACCAAGGCGACGAUCAGUAGCGGGUCCGAGAGGACGAUCCGCCACACUGUCUGUGAGACUCGGCCCAGACUCCUACGGGAGGCCGCAGUGGGGAAUCUUGGACAAUGGGGGCGAGCCUAAUACAGCACUGUCGCGUGUAUGCAGAAGCCGUACGGGUUGUAAAGUAAUUAUGUUAGGGAAGAAAAGGGACGUGCUAAUACCACAUUUUGAUGACGGUACCUAAAGAAUAAGCACCGGCUAACUACGUG
Molecule: ribosomal RNA, 490 nt
Filed under: uncultured bacterium
Lineage: Bacteria
Description: partial 16S ribosomal RNA
Rfam family: Bacterial small subunit ribosomal RNA
Source: RNAcentral